AUUGAACGCUGGCGGCAUGCCUUACACAUGCAAGUCGAACGGUAACAGGUCUUCGGAUGCUGACGAGUGGCGAACGGGUGAGUAAUACAUCGGAACGUGCCUAGUAGUGGGGGAUAACUACUCGAAAGAGUGGCUAAUACCGCAUGAGAUCUACGGAUGAAAGCAGGGGAUCGCAAGACCUUGUGCUACUAGAGCGGCCGAUGGCAGAUUAGGUAGUUGGUGGGAUAGAAGCUUACCAAGCCGACGAUCUGUAGCUGGUCUGAGAGGACGAUCAGCCACACUGGGACUGAGACACGGGCCAGACUCCUACGGGAGGCAGCCGUGGGGAAUUUUGGACAAUGGGCGAAAGCCUGAUCCAGCAAUGCCGCGUGCAGGAUGAAGGCCUUCGGGUUGUAAACUGCUUUUGUACGGAACGAAAAGCCCCGGGUUAAUACCCUGGGGUCAUGACGGUACCGUGAGAAUAAGCACCGGCUAACUACGUGCCAGCCGCCGCCGUAA
This 498-nucleotide ribosomal RNA is filed under the name uncultured bacterium. RNAcentral's name for it is "partial 16S ribosomal RNA". It matches the Rfam family "Bacterial small subunit ribosomal RNA", at positions 30 to 523 of the family's 1533-position model. The record is from RNAcentral.